AUUGAACGCUGGCGGCAGGCCUAACACAUGCAAGUCGAGCGGAUGAAGGGAGCUUGCUCCUGGAUUCAGCGGCGGACGGGUGAGUAAUGCCUAGGAAUCUGCCUGGUAGUGGGGGAUAACGUCCGGAAACGGGCGCUAAUACCGCAUACGUCCUGAGGGAGAAAGUGGGGGAUCUUCGGACCUCACGCUAUCAGAUGAGCCUAGGUCGGAUUAGCUAGUUGGUGGGGUAAAGGCCUACCAAGGCGACGAUUCGUAACUGGUCUGAGAGGAUGAUCAGUCACACUGGAACUGAGACACGGUCCAGACUCCUACGGGAGGCAGCAGUGGGGAAUAUUGGACAAUGGGCGAAAGCCUGAUCCAGCCAUGCCGCGUGUGUGAAGAAGGUCUUCGGAUUGUAAAGCACUUUAAGUUGGGAGGAAGGGCAGUAAGUUAAUACCUUGCUGUUUUGACGUUACCAACAGAAUAAGCCCCGGCUAACUUCGUG
Molecule: ribosomal RNA, 484 nt
Filed under: uncultured bacterium
Lineage: Bacteria
Description: partial 16S ribosomal RNA
Rfam family: Bacterial small subunit ribosomal RNA
Source: RNAcentral